Mesocricetus auratus (golden hamster) is the source of this 1118-nucleotide long non-coding RNA. RefSeq lists it as uncharacterized. NCBI's taxonomy places the organism in Eukaryota, Metazoa, Chordata, Mammalia, Rodentia, Cricetidae. The transcript has 3 exons. The record is from RefSeq and is a predicted model, not a curated record.
GUGGCGUGGGGCGUCACAACAAAGGGGAGGCGAGGGGGAACUGGGCGUGUGUAUGUGUGUGUGUGUGUGCGCGCGUGUGCAUGUGAGGGGUCGCCCGCCAGCUCUUAGAAGCCUCUUCAGCGAGCAUUUACCACUGCUGUCCUUGAACAAGAGGGAGGACUGAUCCGAAUGAAGCAAAUGAACCCUGUAAGCUAAAGCCUGUGCCCGGCAUCGCUUUUCUCAGGAGCGCUUAAUCCUCAACCUCACAGAGAAGAUUCUAAUUGACUAAUUUACACAGGGUUGCCUCGGUGUUUGGUAUGAACUCUCCCUACAUUAUCAGGGGCUUCCAAGUCAGAAGAAAACCCUGUGACAGAAAAGCAGCCACAGAGUCUGCAUGGAGUGACCUACCUUUCACAGUUAUAAUUAUAAGUGACUUCAAGAGUGUGAAUUGGGAAUGUAUCAGCGGAGGCAAAUUUCUCAAAUGGAACUCAUCAAAUGAGAGACAGUUCACACAGCAACUUCAUGUAAACUUUUUUUUUUAAUUAGUGAAACACUUCAUUGUAUUAUGGGUAGAAAUGAAAUUAUGUCAAGAAUCACAAGAAAUGAACCAACUGUGUAAGGUACAUGAAGAAUAUAGAGAUCAGGCACAAACGAUUUACACUAGUAACAAUGCCCAGAGGACCCUUUGUCGAGUUCACAACACAAACAAGUUAAAGAUUAGCCCCCGUAAGUGGAAACCCCCAUAGGGGUUAGCUGUGCAGUCCUCGUUCCAUUUGACCAUUAGUGAUCUCUGUAGACCAUGAGAAAGUUAAGUCGACUGGGAAGAGCCUGGAACCUACCUGGAAAUGCCCAUACCUUGCGCUGUGCCUUCCCAGUUCCCUGCCAUCCUAUGGUGUGAGAAUGCUGAUGGCCCCACAGCCUUUGGAACCUUCCCAGGAUAUAAUGGUCUCAGGAGAGUGAACCCAGAGACCAGCUUGCUGUUUUCAACCCCACACAAAAUGGGUACAUUUGUUGUUAGUCAACUUAUAAUUCCGACUGUGGCUUAUGGUUUUGCCACCAACCUUUUAGAAGGAAAAUAUCAAAUGUGAUUUUAAGCCAUCACGAUCCAUAACCAUGGCACUAAUAAAGAAUUAAUCUAU